RNAcentral lists this non-coding RNA (28 nucleotides) under Homo sapiens (human). Lineage: Eukaryota; Metazoa; Chordata; Mammalia; Primates; Hominidae. The record is from RNAcentral.
UGAGAUCUGGUGGUUUAAAUGUGUGUGU